Long non-coding RNA from Bombus terrestris (buff-tailed bumblebee), 1623 nucleotides. RefSeq lists it as uncharacterized. The record is from RefSeq and is a predicted model, not a curated record. Lineage: Eukaryota; Metazoa; Arthropoda; Insecta; Hymenoptera; Apidae. The transcript is spliced from 2 exons.
CCAUUCAUUGAUCGGUGUUUCAUUUUGUACUUUACUUCCUACUCGUCCACCAGAGGACCAUCGGUAUGACUUCAUGCAAGAGCUUCUCGCAAGUGCCCUGCUUGGAACACUUCUUAUAAACACAUAUACGUUAAUUGCUAAAUCUUAUAUCAAGGAAAUAUUCGAAGAUGAUUCAUCUCAGGGUUCUCUACUCUCAUAAUGGCACAUUACUAUUACAGAACUAUAAGUAAUUCAUUACGAUUAAGUAAUAUUAAAAUAAUACAGAUAAAUGUAAAAUUGUCGAUAUCAAAUAACAAAAGAUAUGAUUUACAAGUAAUGGUUUCACUCAAGAAGCAGUUCUUGUGAUCUGAUUCUUUCAUCGGAGACACCAAUCUUGAAAAAUUGUCAAAAAAUGUAUUUUCAGAAUUAUAAGUUCAUAAGAGAGUAUAGGUCUGGCGCAAAGUUCAGUGGUGAAGCGAGUAUACUGAUCCAUAAAUUCAACUUCCAAUAUACAUAUUGUACCAGUAAUCCCAUAUAACAGUCGUAUCAAAUUUAUAAUAAUUAAAAUUAAAGCACAGAAAGAUAAUAAUUUCUUUAUUAUAUCUAUAUAUGCAUCUUUAAAACAGAAUUCAAUGAACAGCUGGAUAUUUUAUUUUCAAAAUUAAAUUUAUCAGAUUUUAACACUUUGACAGCUACUAUCGCGUAGACAUGAUUUCGCAAACAUAAUUUGAACAUAGUAGCGUUAAUACUUUUUAUUUAUUUGCGGGAGACCAUAAUGCUAAACGUACACCGGGGCAACAAUAUUAAUAACAAUCGUGGAAAAGACCCUAUAUAGAUGAAUUUUGAAUAGAUAAAUUCAAUAUAGAAUCCAACUGUAUAAUUGAUUUCAACCUUCUUACGAAAAAUCUAACUCCGUUAUAGAUUUAGUGAUAAUGAGAGAAAAAUAUUGUUAUUUUUCAUUUCAAUCAAAGAUUCUUAUAGGACUUUUCCUUCUUAAUAAAUCAGUUCAUUAGGAUUUUAGUAAAUGUGGCUUGUAACUAUAUCGAGAACAUCUUUUAUGAAAUUUCCCCUAUUUAAUACUAAACAACCAUAAAUUGUCCGUUCCCGAAAUUGACUCAUACCUAGGAGAAAUCAAUAAACACAUCCGUGAUGUUAUUGAAAUUUCUACCCUAAAGAUUAUUAAUGAAGCAUAUAAUUCUAUAGAUAAAUAUGUAAUUUCUAAACUAAAAACAUAUUUGUAAGGACCAUAUAUCAGAGGAUCAGAAUCAUUCUAGUCACCUUUUAUAGAUCUGUAAUCAUUGCCUACAUAUUCUCCCAAAAAUAGUAAAAAAAUUUAACAAUCAAUUCGUACUGGUACAACAGAAUAAUAGAUAUAAGUACUAGUAACCCCGAGGAAAUAUUCCCAGAGAUACGCUCGUCACCUUUGGCAAAGGAAUAUAACCUUCUUAUUAAGUGCAGCAACCGUGAUUUACAAAUCAGUUCAGACCACAUGAUUCUAAAUUCAGUUGUAAGAUUCCCAUAUUCAUGACUAGCAUAGUAACUACCCCACUCCAAUCGAUUAAUUCCCAGGCAUACCAGUUGCCUGAUAAACCAUAUGUAUAAAAGCACCAUGGAAAUCAAUAAAAAGUUUCAAUUGUCAUUCAA